This 2754-nucleotide ribosomal RNA is filed under the name Flavobacteriales bacterium. RNAcentral's name for it is "23S ribosomal RNA". It matches the Rfam family "Bacterial large subunit ribosomal RNA". The record is from RNAcentral. Lineage: Bacteria; Pseudomonadati; Bacteroidota; Flavobacteriia; Flavobacteriales.
UAUUAAGUAUAUAAGAGUAUAUGAUGGAUGUCUAGGUUUCUAUAAGCGAUGAAAGACGUGAUAAGCUGCGAUAAGCUUCGUGUAGAUGCAAACAAUCUAUAAUACGGAGAUUUCUGAAUGGGGCAACCCGAUCCUUUGGAUCUUAUAGCAUACCCGGUGAACUGAAACAUCUAAGUAACCGGAGGAAAAGAAAACAAUAGUGAUUUCCAUAGUAGUGGCGAGCGAACUGGAAAAAGCCCAAACUGUGUUUGUUUUUGCAAAUACAGGGUUGUAGGACUUUUAUAAUUUUAAUUAAUCUUAGUCAAAUAUAUUGGAAAAUUUAACCAAAGAGGGUGAUAGUCCCGUAGAUAAAAAGAUUAUGAUAAAGAAAAGUAUCCUGAGUACCACGGAACAUGUGUAAUUUUGUGGGAAUCUGCCAGAACCAUCUGGUAAGGCUAAAUAUAAAUAGAAAACCGAUAGUGAACUAGUACCGUGAGGGAAAGAUGAAAAGUAUUCUGAAUAAGAAAGUGAAAUAGAUCCUGAAAUCAUAUAUUUACAAGCGGUAGAAGUCUUCGGACGACUGCGUGCCUUUUGCAUAAUGAGCCUACGAGUUACUCUUAUCUAGCAAGGUUAAGUUAAAUUAACGGAGCCAAAGCGAAAGCGAGUCUUAACAGGGCGUAUAGUUAGAUGAGGUAGACGCGAAACCAAGUGAUCUACCCAUGACCAGGUUGAAGCUGUAGUAACAUACAGUGAAGGACCGAACCAGUUGACGUUGAAAAGUCUUUGGAUGAGUUGUGGGUAGGGGUGAAAGGCUAAUCAAACUUGGAAAUAGCUCGUUCUCCCCGAAAUGCAUUUAGGUGCAGCCUCGGGAUUAUUAUCGUAGAGGUAGAGAUACUGGUAAGGCUAGGGGGCUUCACCGCCUACCAAACUUUGUCAAACUCCGAAUACUACGAUAUUUGCCCGGGAGUGAGGGCAUGGGUGCUAAGGUCCAUGUCCGAGAGGGAAAGAACCCAGACCAUCAGUUAAGGUCCCAAAAUAUAUGCUAAGUUGAUUUAACGAGGUUCAAUUGCAUUGACAGCUAGGAUGUUGGCUUGGAAGCAGCCAUUCAUUUAAAGAGUGCGUAACAGCUCACUAGUCGAGCGAUUGAGCAUGGAUGAUAAUCGGGCAUAAGCAUAUUACCGAAACUAUGGAUUUAUGGUAGGGGAGCGUUUUAGUUGUGCUGAAGUUACUUCGUGAGAAGUAGUGGAACGGCUAAAAAUGAAAAUGUAGGCAUAAGUAACGAAAAAUAGAUUAUAAAUCUAUUCGCCAAAUAACUAAGGUUUCCUGUUCAACGCUAAACGGAGCAGGGUUAGUCGGGACCUAAGGCAAACCCAAAUGGGGUAGUCGAUGGAUAUCAGGUUAAUAUUCCUGAACUAGUUAGAGAGGACGGAGAGAUGAGCUUUAUACGUACAGACGGAAUUGUACGUCAUACCUAGUAGAUUUCGAACGGGAAUAAGGUGAUUUUCUUCCAAGAAAAGCCUCUAACAUUAAACUCGUACUGUAAACCGACACAGGUAGUUAAGGAGAGAAUCCUAAGGCGAUCGAGAUAGUCAUAGCUAAGGAACUAGGCAAAAUAGUCCUGUAACUUCGGGAGAAAGGACGCCCUCUUAUGAGGGUCGCAGUUAAUAGGCCCAGGCGACUGUUUAUCAAAAACACAUGACUUUGCUAAAUUGAAAGAUGAUGUAUAAGGUCUGACACCUGCCCGGUGCCGGAAGGUUAAAAGGAGAUGUUAUCCUCGGAGAAGCAUUGAAUUGAAGCCCCGGUAAACGGCGGCCGUAACUAUAACGGUCCUAAGGUAGCGAAAUUCCUUGUCGGGUAAGUUCCGACCUGCACGAAUGGUGCAACGAUCUGGGCACUGUCUCAGCUAUGUCCUCGGUGAAAUUGUAGUAUCGGUGAAGAUGCCGAUUACCCGCAACGGGACGGAAAGACCCCGUGAACCUUUACUAUAGCUUAACGUUGAUAUUGAAUAUUUAGUGUGUAGGAUAGGUGGGAAACUUUGAAGCGGCCUCGUCAGGGGUUGUGGAGUUGUUCUUGAAAUACCACCCUCUAAUUAUUUGAUAUCUAAUCUUAUUGAGACAGCGUUUGGUGGGUAGUUUGACUGGGGUGGUCGCCUCCAAAAGAGUAACGGAGGCUUCUAAAGGUACCCUCAGCACGUUUGGUAACCGUGCGUAGAGUAUAAUGGUAUAAGGGUGCUUGACUGCAAGACCUACAAGUCGAGCAGGUACGAAAGUAGAGCAUAGUGAUCCGGUGGUUCCGCAUGGAAGGGCCAUCGCUCAAAGGAUAAAAGGUACUCCGGGGAUAACAGGCUUAUCACUCCCAAGAGCUCACAUCGACGGAGUGGUUUGGCACCUCGAUGUCGGCUCGUCACAUCCUGGGGCUGGAGAAGGUCCCAAGGGUUGGGCUGUUCGCCCAUUAAAGUGGCACGCGAGCUGGGUUCAGAACGUCGUGAGACAGUUCGGUCCCUAUCUGUUGUGGGCGUUAGAAAUUUGAGAGAACCUGUCCCUAGUACGAGAGGACCGGGAUGGACGAACCUCUGGUGUAUUUGUUGUGGCGCCAGCUGCAUUGCAAAGUAGCUACGUUCGGUUGAGAUAAGCGCUGAAAGCAUCUAAGCGCGAAACUCUUCUCGAGAUGAGAUUUCUUUUAAGGAUCGUCAAAGACUAUGACGUUGAUAGGUUGCAGAUGUAAAUGCAGUAAUGUAUGAGUCGAGCAAUACUAAUUAUCCGUAAACUUAAUAAA